Molecule: ribosomal RNA, 484 nt
Filed under: uncultured bacterium
Lineage: Bacteria
Description: partial 16S ribosomal RNA
Rfam family: Bacterial small subunit ribosomal RNA
Source: RNAcentral
GACGAACGCUGGCGGCGUGCUUAACACAUGCAAGUCGAACGAUGAAGCCGGAGCUUGCUCUGGUGAAUUAGUGGCGAACGGGUGAGUAACACGUGAGUAACCUGCCCUUGACUCUGGGAUAACUGCGGGAAACUGUAGCUAAUACCGGAUACGACCCUCGGAGGCAUCUCCUGGGGGUGGAAAGAAUUUCGGUCAAGGAUGGACUCGCGGCCUAUCAGCUAGUUGGUGAGGUAAAGGCCCACCAAGGCGACGACGGGUAGCCGUGCUGAGAGGGUGACCUGCCACGCUGGGACUGAGACACGGCCCAGACUCCUACGGGAGGCAGCAGUGGGGAAUAUUGCACAAUGGGCGCAAGCCUGAUGCAGCAACGCCGCGUGAGGGAUGACGGCCGUCGGGUUGUAAACCUCUUUUAGCAGGGAAGAAGCGAACGUGACGGUACCUGCAGAAAAAGCACCGGCUAACUACGUGCCAGCCGCCGCCGUAA